RNAcentral lists this ribosomal RNA (442 nucleotides) under uncultured bacterium. RNAcentral describes it as "partial 16S ribosomal RNA". It matches the Rfam family "Bacterial small subunit ribosomal RNA", at positions 338 to 795 of the family's 1533-position model. The record is from RNAcentral.
CCUACGGGUGGCAGCAGUGGGGAAUAUUGGGCAAUGGGCGCAAGCCUGACCCAGCAACGCCGCGUGAAGGAAGAAGGCUUUCGGGUUGUAAACUUCUUUUAUGAGGGAAGAGCAGAAGACGGUACCUCUUGAAUAAGCCACGGCUAACUACGUGCCCGCAGCCGCGGUAAUACGUAGGUGGCAAGCGGUUUCCGGAUUUACUGGGUGUAAAGGGCGUGUAGGCGGGCUGACAAGUCAGAUGUGAAAUCCGGGGGCUGAAACCCCGAACUGCAUUUGAAACUGUUUGUCUUGAGUAUCGGAGAGGCAGGCGGAAUUCCUAGUGUAGCGGUGAAAUGCGUAGAUAUUAGGAGGAACACCAGUGGCGAAGGCGGCCUGCUGGACGACAACUGACGGUGAGGCGCGAAAGCGUGGGGAGCAAACAGGAUUAGAUACCCGAGUAGUC